UACAGAGGUCUCAAGCGUUGUUCGGAUUCAUUGGGCGUAAAGGGCGCGUAGGUGGUGAUGCAAGUCUGGUGUGAAAUUUCGGAGCUUAACUCCGAAACUGCAUUCGAUACUGGCGUGCUUGAGGACUGGAGAGGAGACUGGAAUUCAUGGUGUAGCAGUGAAAUGCGUAGAGAUCAUGAGGAAGACCAGUGGCGAAGGCGGGUCUCUGGACAGUUCCUGACACUGAGACACGAAGGCCAGGGGAGCAAACGGG
Molecule: ribosomal RNA, 253 nt
Filed under: uncultured bacterium
Lineage: Bacteria
Description: partial 16S ribosomal RNA
Rfam family: Bacterial small subunit ribosomal RNA
Source: RNAcentral